GUGCACAAGGCAGGCCACGGACCUGCACCAUUACUAGUCAGAAAGUUCCACUGAAUUAUAUUAUUAACAAUAUUACGAUUGGAACUUAUUAUUCAUGAGUUUCUUUGUACAGGAUUCUAAUGGCUCAAUUGUCUGAUUCCCCCACAUCAGAUAGCCUAAGCCAUUUAUAGCAGUUAUAUGUCUAGCAUUUCAAACAGUAUAUAAUAAAGAGACAUAAGAAAGGAAAUAGGUUGCACAAGUAGCAGCAGAGAUGAUUGUCAAGGAAGCCACUGCUAUCCCUGGCCCUCAUUAUCCCAUUAUUUCUAAGAAGCUUCCCUAUCCUCAACAGUCAGCACCAGUACCCCAACCCAAACGCCAUGCCCCCCCUCUGUUUCUUUUUCUAUAGCUUUAGGUCCUAGCUCUGCCACCAUCAUAAGGUUAACUAUCAGCACUAAACCUGCAUUGUUAUGAACAAAAGUUUUUAUAAUGAUAACUUUUCGAGUCAAUCCUUAAUAUUGUCAUAGAUGGACCCAAAUGGCAUAGUAGGACUAAAUAAAAAAAUAAAAAAUAAAAACCAAUAGCAACAACAUAUGCUUCACAUAAUGUUAUCCUAUCGGCAGGUGGUCAGCCAUAGCCAGGAAUCUCCCCAAGCGAACCGACAACGAGAUCAAGAAUUAUUGGAACACACAUCUGAAGAAGCGACAAGCCGAGAAGGGUACUGCUCUUGUGAGUCGCAAGCCAUUUGGUCCCUCUUCCGCUCCCUCCGACGCCAUCCACGAGUCUUCUGAAUGCGAACCUGCUCAGCCGCAACCUACAUCUUUAAGGCCUGCUUCGGCUUCAGCCCAGCUGCUCAACAAAAUAGCGGCUAAGCUUGCGCCAUCAACAUGUCUCGAGACAUUAAAAACAAGCCAAAGUCUUCAGACCCUUUCAACAGAAGCUGAUAAAGAGGUUGUGGACGUGCAUAUAAUUAGCAACACGUGUCAGUCGGAGCCUCCACCUUCCCUGGCUGUGAGGUCCCCGGAUAUGCCCAGGCCUGUUUCCACUUCUGCUAGAAUCCUAAAUAAAAUGGCCGGUAGACUUACCACCCAUUUACACUGCCUCGACACGUUAAAAUCUAUCCUGUCAGGUUCUUCAGAUAAUCAUAACUUUAUGCAUCGUUCUCCAUCUGCUUCAAGCCUUUCAGAGACUGCCUCUGAUAUGUCAAGAUCCAUUUCCACUUCCAAUGGAGGGAUAAACGAUCAAAUGCCUACCCAUAAUCAUCUUUCACCAUUAAUCGACUCUUUUGAUCUUGACCUGCUUAAAGAUUGGAAUGGGGUAAGUGACUGCGGCGUUUCGAGUAGUAGCCUGGGUGACACCUACAACGGCUGGGAAUCUCCAGUGUCUCCUCUC
RNAcentral lists this unclassified non-coding RNA (1368 nucleotides) under Hevea brasiliensis (rubber tree). Lineage: Eukaryota; Viridiplantae; Streptophyta; Magnoliopsida; Malpighiales; Euphorbiaceae. The record is from RNAcentral.